CACUAAGAAGCUUAUAUUAGCGUCAGCCUUUUAAGUUGAAGAGGAAAUCACUUUCCUUAGUGA
Molecule: transfer RNA, 63 nt
Filed under: Ovophis okinavensis (himehabu)
Lineage: Eukaryota; Metazoa; Chordata; Lepidosauria; Squamata; Viperidae
Description: tRNA-Lys
Source: RNAcentral